CUGACCUCGGAUCAGUA
This 17-nucleotide ribosomal RNA is filed under the name Neocamarosporium salsolae. RNAcentral's name for it is "partial 28S ribosomal RNA". The record is from RNAcentral. Lineage: Eukaryota; Fungi; Ascomycota; Dothideomycetes; Neocamarosporiaceae.